RNAcentral lists this ribosomal RNA (109 nucleotides) under Pteropus alecto (black flying fox). Lineage: Eukaryota; Metazoa; Chordata; Mammalia; Chiroptera; Pteropodidae. The record is from RNAcentral.
GUCUACGGCCAUGCCACCCUGAAUAAGCCUGAUCUUGGAAGCUAAGCAGGGUCGGGCCUGGUUAGUACUUGGAUGGGAGACCACCUAGGAAGACCAGGUGCUGUAGGCA